GACGAACGCUGGCGGCGUGCUUAACACAUGCAAGUCGAACGGAAAGGCCCUGCUUUUGUGGGGUGCUCGAGUGGCGAACGGGUGAGUAACACGUGAGUAACCUGCCCUUGACUUUGGGAUAACUUCAGGAAACUGGGGCUAAUACCGGAUAGGAGCUCCUGCUGCAUGGUGGGGGUUGGAGAGUUUCGGCGGUUGGGGAUGGACUCGCGGCUUAUCAGCUUGUUGGUGGGGUAGUGGCUUACCAAGGCUUUGACGGGUAGCCGGCCUGAGAGGGUGACCGGCCACAUUGGGACUGAGAUACGGCCCAGACUCCUACGGGAGGCAGCAGUGGGGAAUAUUGUACAAUGGGCGGAAGCCUGAUGCAGCAACGCCGCGUGCGGGAUGACGGCCUUCGGGUUGUAAACCGCUUUCGCCUGUGACGAAGCGUGAGUGACGGUAAUGGGUAAAGAAGCACCGGCUAACUACGUGCCAGCAGCCGCGGUGAUACGUAGGGUGCGAGCGUUGUCCGGAUUUAUUGGGCGUAAAGGGCUCGUAGGUGGUUGAUCGCGUCGGAAGUGUAAUCUUGGGGCUUAACCCUGAGCGUGCUUUCGAUACGGGUUGACUUGAGGAAGGUAGGGGAGAAUGGAAUUCCUGGUGGAGCGGUGGAAUGCGCAGAUAUCAGGAGGAACACCAGUGGCGAAGGCGGUUCUCUGGGCCUUUCCUGACGCUGAGGAGCGAAAGCGUGGGGAGCGAACAGGCUUAGAUACCCUGGUAGUCCACGCUGUAAACGGUGGGUACUAGGUGUGGGGUCCAUUCCACGGGUUCCGUGCCGUAGCUAACGCUUUAAGUACCCCGCCUGGGGAGUACGGCCGCAAGGCUAAAACUCAAAGGAAUUGACGGGGCCCCGCACAAGCGGCGGAGCAUGCGGAUUAAUUCGAUGCAACGCGUAGAACCUUACCUGGGUUUGACAUGGAUCGGGAGCGCUCAGAGAUGGGUGUGCCUCUUUUGGGGUCGGUUCACAGGUGGUGCAUGGCUGUCGUCAGCUCGUGUCGUGAGAUGUUGGGUUAAGUCCCGCAACGAGCGCAACCCUUGUUCACUGUUGCCAGCACGUUAUGGUGGGGACUCAGUGGAGACCGCCGGGGUCAACUCGGAGGAAGGUGGGGAUGACGUCAAGUCAUCAUGCCCCUUAUGUCCAGGGCUUCACGCAUGCUACAAUGGCUGGUACAGAGGGUGGCGAGCCUGUGAGGGUGAGCGAAUCUCGGAAAGCCGGUCUCAGUUCGGAUUGGGGUCUGCAACUCGACCUCAUGAAGUCGGAGUCGCUAGUAAUCGCAGAUCAGCAACGCUGCGGUGAAUACGUUCCCGGGGCU
RNAcentral lists this ribosomal RNA (1346 nucleotides) under uncultured bacterium. RNAcentral's name for it is "bacterial SSU rRNA". It matches the Rfam family "Bacterial small subunit ribosomal RNA", at positions 28 to 1381 of the family's 1533-position model. The record is from RNAcentral.